UGAACGAAGAGUUUGAUCCUGGCUCAGGAUGAACGCUGACAGAAUGCUUAACACAUGCAAGUCAACUUGAAUUUGGGUUUUUAACUUAGAUUUGGGUGGCGGACGGGUGAGUAACGCGUAAAGAACUUGCCUCACAGAUAGGGACAACAUUUGGAAACGAAUGCUAAUACCUGAUAUUAUGAUUACAAGGCAUCUUGUAAUUAUGAAAGCUAAAUGCGCUGAGAGAGAGCUUUGCGUCCCAUUAGCUAGUUG
RNAcentral lists this ribosomal RNA (252 nucleotides) under Fusobacterium simiae. Its description in RNAcentral is "partial 16S ribosomal RNA". It matches the Rfam family "Bacterial small subunit ribosomal RNA", at positions 1 to 251 of the family's 1533-position model. Lineage: Bacteria; Fusobacteriati; Fusobacteriota; Fusobacteriia; Fusobacteriales; Fusobacteriaceae. The record is from RNAcentral.